UGACUUUGGGAAAAUUCGGCCAAAUCCAAAGGGUGGAUUUUUGGGUUCUUGUUUGAUUUGUUAAAAGUGUUUUAAGGUGACUUUUGGAACCCCUAUGUACCCUAAGUUUGGUUAGAUGUUAUUUCCCUAAAGUUUAAAUGGUUUUGGGAUGUUUUUGGGUGAAAAAAAGUUCAUGGAAAAAUUUUGGGUUUUUCAUGAAUGUUCUUCAUUGUUCUUGACAUUUUUGCCAAGAACAAAAAGUUUGGUGUUUUGAUUCAAAGUUUUGAUUAAUUUCAUGAAGUCUUUGUUUUGUGUUGAUUGGUGUGAAAUAUCUAUCAUCAAAACAUUUAUAUUUUUUGAAAGGUGAUAGAAAUUGUGAUGGGUGUGUAAGACUUACAAGGCUUUAUGAUUUACACACCACAUGCAUGGUUUUAUGAUUUACACCAACCAAAAACCACUUGCAAGGCUUUAUGAAUUUGUUGAAAAAAUUUUCAAAAUUUUGUGGACUAACACUCCAAAACCGGCCACCCUAUUAUUAGGGUUCUUUUGGGUCUUUUAUGCAAUUACAUAAUCCAUUUAAAUCAAUUUUAUGG
RNAcentral lists this long non-coding RNA (572 nucleotides) under Malus domestica (apple). RNAcentral describes it as "long non-coding RNA (MDOM_LNC020799)". The record is from RNAcentral. Lineage: Eukaryota; Viridiplantae; Streptophyta; Magnoliopsida; Rosales; Rosaceae.